UAAUACAUAAGUAACCUGGCCUUUACAGGGGGAUAACUAUUGGAAACGAUAGCUAAGACCGCAUAGGUGUCAUAACCGCAUGGAAUGAUAUGAAAUAUGCUACGGCAUAGGUAGAGGAUGGACUUAUGGCGCAUUAGCUAGUUGGAGGGGUAACGGCCCACCAAGGCGACGAUCAGUAGCCGGCCUGAGAGGGUGAACGGCCACAUUGGGACUGAGACACGGCCCAA
RNAcentral lists this ribosomal RNA (227 nucleotides) under uncultured bacterium. RNAcentral describes it as "partial 16S ribosomal RNA". It matches the Rfam family "Bacterial small subunit ribosomal RNA", at positions 111 to 334 of the family's 1533-position model. The record is from RNAcentral.